GGAGGUGUCCGAUAGUUGGUCAAUUCGGGGAGUUUGCUAAACUCCUGAGUCCAAAAGGCUCACGUGGGUUCGAAUCCCACCGCCUCCG
This 88-nucleotide transfer RNA is filed under the name Candidatus Gottesmanbacteria bacterium. RNAcentral's name for it is "tRNA-Ser". It matches the Rfam family "tRNA". Rfam says of the family: Transfer RNA (tRNA) molecules are approximately 80 nucleotides in length. Their secondary structure includes four short double-helical elements and three loops (D, anti-codon, and T loops). Further hydrogen bonds mediate the characteristic L-shaped molecular structure. tRNAs have two regions of fundamental functional importance: the anti-codon, which is responsible for specific mRNA codon recognition, and the 3' end, to which the tRNAs corresponding amino acid is attached (by aminoacyl-tRNA synthetases). tRNAs cope with the degeneracy of the genetic code in two manners: having more than one tRNA (with a specific anti-codon) for a particular amino acid; and 'wobble' base-pairing, i.e. permitting non-standard base-pairing at the 3rd anti-codon position. Lineage: Bacteria; Candidatus Gottesmaniibacteriota. The record is from RNAcentral.